GGCCGCAGUUGCGGCUAUAGGGUUCAGUUAUUUAAAGCCCCGAUUUAUCGGGGUUUUUUGUUAUCUGAGUACGAAAUAACUGGGCUAUAUGCCCUUUUUUU
This is a non-coding RNA of Enterobacter cloacae S611, 101 nucleotides long. The record is from Rfam. Lineage: Bacteria; Pseudomonadati; Pseudomonadota; Gammaproteobacteria; Enterobacterales; Enterobacteriaceae.